This 67-nucleotide transfer RNA is filed under the name Inocellia cheni. Its description in RNAcentral is "tRNA-His". Lineage: Eukaryota; Metazoa; Arthropoda; Insecta; Raphidioptera; Inocelliidae. The record is from RNAcentral.
AUUUAAAUAGUUUAAUUUAAAAAUAUUGAUUUGUGGAAUCAAAGUUAUAAAAUAAUUAUUUUAAAUA